AGUGAACGCUGGCGGUAGGCCUAACACAUGCAAGUCGAACGGCAGCACAGUAAGAGCUUGCUCUUACGGGUGGCGAGAGGCGGACGGGUGAGGAAUACAUCGGUAUCUACUUUUUCGUGGGGGAUAACGAAGGGAAACUUACGCUAAUACCGCAUACGACCUACGGGUGAAAGCCGGGGAUCUUCGGACCUUGCGCGAUUGAAUGAGCCGAUGUCGGAUUAGCUAGUUGGCGGGGUAAAGGCCCACCAAGGCGACGAUCCGUAGCUGGUCUGAGAGGAUGAUCAGCCACACUGGAACUGAGACACGGUCCAGACUCCUACGGGAGGCAGCAGUGGGGAAUAUUGGACAAUGGGCGAAAGCCUGAUCCAGCCAUACCGCGUGGGUGAAGAAGGCCUUCGGGUUGUAAAGCCCUUUUGUUGGGAAAGAAAAGCAGCAGGUUAAUACCCCGCUGUUCUGACGGUACCCAAAGAAUAAGCACCGGCUAACUUCGUG
RNAcentral lists this ribosomal RNA (492 nucleotides) under uncultured bacterium. Its description in RNAcentral is "partial 16S ribosomal RNA". It matches the Rfam family "Bacterial small subunit ribosomal RNA", at positions 29 to 507 of the family's 1533-position model. The record is from RNAcentral.